RNAcentral lists this long non-coding RNA (300 nucleotides) under Mytilus galloprovincialis (Mediterranean mussel). Lineage: Eukaryota; Metazoa; Mollusca; Bivalvia; Mytilida; Mytilidae. The record is from RNAcentral.
UCUGUGGUUAUAAUCCUAUGGUAAGAAAUAUAUUUGCACGAGUUGUUUCCCUUAGUAAGCCCAUAAAUUUUGAUUGAGAAAAAAGAGCUUACAGAAAAACAAUCUCCCAUACAGACAGAGUUGUCGUCCUUUCCUCCUUAAUCUUGAGUAGGAAAGGACGACAACUCUUUCUGUAUGGGAGAUUGACAGAAAGAGGAAGUUUAUAUGUGCCUAAUAUGUAUUAUGCUCUAUCUUAGAAAAGAAAACGAGCCUAUAUUUAAACAGUGUCUAAUAACAUUUUUGGCAAAUAAUUAAUUACAG